Long non-coding RNA from Carcharodon carcharias (great white shark), 272 nucleotides. RefSeq lists it as uncharacterized. The transcript is spliced from 3 exons. NCBI's taxonomy places the organism in Eukaryota, Metazoa, Chordata, Chondrichthyes, Lamniformes, Lamnidae. The record is from RefSeq and is a predicted model, not a curated record.
AGCCAGUAGCAAAAGUACAACUGUUUGACACAAAAGGCCGCCAAAUAGACAUGGUCCUGCAGUACACUCGCUCUGUCUUAAAGAAGAUUCUCAGUGGGGUUUUAAACUGGUGGAGACUGAUGUUGAUGGUCAAGUUUCAAGAGCCAACUCCAAAUGCAGCAACAAGGCAACUAUGUGCAAGCCUCACGGUCCCCUUGGAAUCUCAGCGUGAACAAACAGAUGGGGUGAUUCCGGAGUUCAUUAGUCUGCAAGAGGAGUGUAAAGAGUCAAGG